This is a long non-coding RNA of Mesocricetus auratus (golden hamster), 1340 nucleotides long. RefSeq lists it as uncharacterized. NCBI's taxonomy places the organism in Eukaryota, Metazoa, Chordata, Mammalia, Rodentia, Cricetidae. The transcript has 2 exons. The record is from RefSeq and is a predicted model, not a curated record.
AAGGCGCUUCGUGGUCUAGCCUCACCCACCAGGCUGCCUCCCAACAAUGGUUGGCCCAUUUACAAGUACGGUGCUGUCUUAACACUGUUGACCCCUCUCUUACCCUGUGCCUCUGUGUCCUCUCCACUCAGCAGUAUAAAAUAUCCCACGACAGACUCCAAAACCAGGUUCAGAGAAAAGUCUAAAAGACUCUAGACAUCGUCCUGCAAAGAAUCCCAGUAAGCCUCCUUGAAAAUCUAUUCAGAGGGGGUUGUGGAUAUUGCUCGGUUUUUAGAGCAUUAGUCUAGCAUGCUCGAAGCUCUGGACUCGAUCUCCGGAAGCGUGGAAACUGGCAUAGUGGCAAGUAUCUGUAAUCUCAGUACUUGGAGGGUGGAGACAGAUAAGGAAUUCAAGGUCAUUCUUGGCUACACGGAGAAUUCAAGCUAUUCUGGUGAGCUAUGUAAAACCAUGUCUCAAAACAAAACCCAAAAUUGCUCAGAUAGAUUCUCUCCCCUCUCCUGGAAGUCAAUAAAGGGGGUGAAAGAGACAGGCAAGUGGGCAUUCUCUAACGUCAGGUGUGAAUUUAACUAUUCUGUUCAGAAUACCAGUCAGUCAGUAUGCACGUUAACCUGCCAGUCCCUGUGGCUCUUGGAAUGAUUUAGGACUUGGCAAUUUAAUUUUCAUGUACAACCCCUUUUGUAGACAAGAUACGUGCGUCUCUACUCUAUCAGGAAGAAUUCCUUAUUUAUGGUUCCUUAUUAUCAUAUCCCUGGUACAACCGCAAGAUAUAAAUAUCUGGAAAACUGUUGUGGAAUUUAACCUCUAAGUGGUAAUUACUUUCAUCCGUUUUACUGUCACUUCUUUCACUUACUCCAAGGAACUAUUAUAUGAAGUAAAAACUCCUUCUACAGGCCCUACGUACAGGAUUUCUGGGAGCCCAAUAGUAAAGAGUUUUCCAAACACAGAGACAGCAGUGUGUAAUGGGCAAGACUUUAUAAACUGUGACUGUGUACAGAGCAUGUCCCCCUGUUUAUAUCACCACUCUCCGGUGUCAUAACACUCAUUAUGUCUGAGCCUUUGAAAGUGAAGAACCAAAGAGAAGAGCACUUGCCCCAUGGCAGAGACUGAAUGUGAGAAUCUAAACGCAUGUGCAAGUCAUCCACUCUGUCCUUUAACUGAUCUCCAAAACCAAAUGUGACUUGAUAACAUCGGCUUCUGUUUUUCUCCUCACCCCAAUGCUGAGAAAUGCCUGUGUAACUGACAUAUCUUUUUGCUACUGUUAAGAUCCCUGUGAGCUAGGUCAUUCCAGAGGGGACUGGAUUUAAUCCCCAGCACUGCAAAUAAAAAAUUAUAAAUGUAAA